AUUGAACGCUGGCGGCAUGCUUUACACAUGCAAGUCGAACGGUAACAGGUUAAGCUGACGAGUGGCGAACGGGUGAGUAAUGCAUCGGAACGUGCCCGGUCGUGGGGGAUAACGCAGCGAAAGCUGCGCUAAUACCGCAUACGAUCUGAGGAUGAAAACGGGGGACCGUAAGGCCUCGCGCGAUCGGAGCGGCCGAUGUCAGAUUAGGUAGUUGGUGAGGUAAAGGCUCACCAAGCCAACGAUCUGUAGCUGGUCUGAGAGGACGACCAGCCACACUGGGACUGAGACACGGCCCAGACUCCUACGGGAGGCAGCAGUGGGGAAUUUUGGACAAUGGGCGAAAGCCUGAUCCAGCAAUGCCGCGUGCAGGAAGAAGGCCUUCGGGUCGUAAACUGCUUUUGUACGGAGCGAAAAGGCUCUCUCUAAUACAGGGGGCUCAUGACGGUACCGUAAGAAUAAGCACCGGCUAACUACGUGCCAGCCGCCGCAGUAA
Molecule: ribosomal RNA, 493 nt
Filed under: uncultured bacterium
Lineage: Bacteria
Description: partial 16S ribosomal RNA
Rfam family: Bacterial small subunit ribosomal RNA
Source: RNAcentral